RNAcentral lists this transfer RNA (74 nucleotides) under Alligator mississippiensis (American alligator). It matches the Rfam family "tRNA". Rfam says of the family: Transfer RNA (tRNA) molecules are approximately 80 nucleotides in length. The record is from Rfam by way of RNAcentral. Lineage: Eukaryota; Metazoa; Chordata; Crocodylia; Alligatoridae.
GGGGACUUAGCUCAAAUGGUAGAGCACUUGUUUAAGCAUGCAAGAGGUAGUAGGAUCAAUACCUGUGUUCUCCA